UUAAUUUGAGAGUUUGAUCCUGGCUCAGGACGAACGCUGGCGGCGUGCCUAAUACAUGCAAGUCGAACGAACUCUGGUAUUGAUUGGUGCUUGCAUCAUGAUUUACAUUUGAGUGAGUGGCGAACUGGUGAGUAACACGUGGGAAACCUGCCCAGAAGCGGGGGAUAACACCUGGAAACAGAUGCUAAUACCGCAUAACAACUUGGACCGCAUGGUCCGAGUUUGAAAGAUGGCUUCGGCUAUCACUUUUGGAUGGUCCCGCGGCGUAUUAGCUAGAUGGUGGGGUAACGGCUCACCAUGGCAAUGAUACGUAGCCGACCUGAGAGGGUAAUCGGCCACAUUGGGACUGAGACACGGCCCAAACUCCUACGGGAGGCAGCAGUAGGGAAUCUUCCACAAUGGACGAAAGUCUGAUGGAGCAACGCCGCGUGAGUGAAGAAGGGUUUCGGCUCGUAAAACUCUGUUGUUAAAGAAGAACAUAUCUGAGAGUAACUGUUCAGGUAUUGACGGUAUUUAACCAGAAAGCCACGGCUAACUACGUGCCAGCAGCCGCGGUAAUACGUAGGUGGCAAGCGUUGUCCGGAUUUAUUGGGCGUAAAGCGAGCGCAGGCGGUUUUUUAAGUCUGAUGUGAAAGCCUUCGGCUCAACCGAAGAAGUGCAUCGGAAACUGGGAAACUUGAGUGCAGAAGAGGACAGUGGAACUCCAUGUGUAGCGGUGAAAUGCGUAGAUAUAUGGAAGAACACCAGUGGCGAAGGCGGCUGUCUGGUCUGUAACUGACGCUGAGGCUCGAAAGUAUGGGUAGCAAACAGGAUUAGAUACCCUGGUAGUCCAUACCGUAAACGAUGAAUGCUAAGUGUUGGAGGGUUUCCGCCCUUCAGUGCUGCAGCUAACGCAUUAAGCAUUCCGCCUGGGGAGUACGGCCGCAAGGCUGAAACUCAAAGGAAUUGACGGGGGCCCGCACAAGCGGUGGAGCAUGUGGUUUAAUUCGAAGCUACGCGAAGAACCUUACCAGGUCUUGACAUACUAUGCAAAUCUAAGAGAUUAGACGUUCCCUUCGGGGACAUGGAUACAGGUGGUGCAUGGUUGUCGUCAGCUCGUGUCGUGAGAUGUUGGGUUAAGUCCCGCAACGAGCGCAACCCUUAUUAUCAGUUGCCAGCAUUAAGUUGGGCACUCUGGUGAGACUGCCGGUGACAAACCGGAGGAAGGUGGGGAUGACGUCAAAUCAUCAUGCCCCUUAUGACCUGGGCUACACACGUGCUACAAUGGAUGGUACAACGAGUUGCGAACUCGUGAGAGCAAGCUAAUCUCUUAAAGCCAUUCUCAGUUCGGAUUGUAGGCUGCAACUCGCCUACAUGAAGUCGGAAUCGCUAGUAAUCGCGGAUCAGCAUGCCGCGGUGAAUACGUUCCCGGGCCUUGUACACACCGCCCGUCACACCAUGAGAGUUUGUAACACCCAAAGUCGGUGGGGUAACCUUUUAGGAACCAGCCGCCUAAGGUGGGACAGAUGAUUAGGGUGAAGUCGUAACAAGGUAGCCGUAGGAGAACCUGCGGCUGGAUCACCUCCUUUCUAAGGAA
RNAcentral lists this ribosomal RNA (1576 nucleotides) under Lactiplantibacillus pentosus. RNAcentral describes it as "Lactobacillus pentosus 16S ribosomal RNA". It matches the Rfam family "Bacterial small subunit ribosomal RNA". The record is from RNAcentral. Lineage: Bacteria; Bacillati; Bacillota; Bacilli; Lactobacillales; Lactobacillaceae.